This 293-nucleotide ribosomal RNA is filed under the name uncultured microorganism. RNAcentral's name for it is "partial 16S ribosomal RNA". It matches the Rfam family "Bacterial small subunit ribosomal RNA", at positions 505 to 796 of the family's 1533-position model. The record is from RNAcentral.
GUGCCAGCAGCCGCGGUAAUACGUAGGGUGCAAGCGUUAAUCGGAAUUACUGGGCGUAAAGCGUGCGCAGGCGGUUUUGUAAGACAGGCGUGAAAUCCCCGGGCUCAACCUGGGAAUUGCGCUUGUGACUGCAAAGCUGGAGUGCGGCAGAGGGGGAUGGAAUUUCCGCGUGUAGCAGUGAAAUGCGUAGAUAUGCGGAGGAACACCGAUGGCGAAGGCAAUCCCCUGGGCCUGCACUGACGCUCAUGCACGAAAGCGUGGGGAGCAAACAGGAUUAGAUACCCUGGUAGUCC